RNAcentral lists this transfer RNA (67 nucleotides) under Gorpis annulatus. Its description in RNAcentral is "tRNA-Tyr". The record is from RNAcentral. Lineage: Eukaryota; Metazoa; Arthropoda; Insecta; Hemiptera; Nabidae.
AAUAGAAUGGCUGAAGUUUUAGGCUGUAAAUUGUAAAUUUAUAUAUGAAUUUAUAAUUCUUCUAUUA